UACGUAGGGUGCGAGCGUUGCCCGGAUUUAUUGGGCGUAAAGGGCGCGUAGGCGGCCUGGCGCGUCGGCUGUGAAAUCUCCCGGCUCAACUGGGAGGGGACGGCCGAUACGGCUGGGCUUGAGCGAGGUAGGGGAGAGUGGAAUUCCCGGUGUAGUGGUGGAAUGCGUAGAUAUCAGGAGGAACACCGGUGGCGAAGGCGGGUCUCUGGGCCGAUACUGACGCUGAGGAGCGAAAGCGUGGGGAGCGAACAGG
RNAcentral lists this ribosomal RNA (253 nucleotides) under uncultured bacterium. RNAcentral's name for it is "partial 16S ribosomal RNA". It matches the Rfam family "Bacterial small subunit ribosomal RNA", at positions 524 to 776 of the family's 1533-position model. The record is from RNAcentral.